UUAAGCUUCAUCUCUGUUUUCAUAUUAAAAUUUGGCAUGAAUGUCUGUGCUGUAAGUUAUCUUCCCUAAUUUGCUAAUCUCUUUUUGUUGUUGUUUCGGACAGCCAGUAUAUAAUUGUUUUGGAAAUAAGGUUGGUUGCAGCUGGUGCUGAAGCAAACAUGUAAAUAACAAAGGGUUUGUUUUAUAAGCUGCAGAUACAGUUGCUUCUCUUACCAAUUCCGAAUACAUCUUCAGCUGCGAUCUCUUUGAUUGUGUGGAAGAAAGCAUUGGUUCAUUUAUGUCUGUACAAAUGAGAAAUGUUUGGCUGUUCAGUUUAUUGACAUGAAGAUUGCUGGAAAGUGGAAUCAUUAGCGGACACCUUGAGGCUUGCAACAGGGAGAUAUCAAACUGAGGCGCUCUCCUAGACAGUUAGCAGAAUCUUAACGACGCGUUAGUGGCAUACCGUACAGCCGCAAAAGCAGCGGUUCAUAUUCAAGGAGAGUGUAGAAAAAAUGUGCCUUCAACGGCACAGUCAAAGGUGAUCCAGUUUGCCAACAUGGAGCUAAGAGAGUUCUUCAAUAUGCGGCGUCAAGCACUUAGGGUCCAGCCUGCUUUCCGGUGGUCACAAGCAGCAAGGCACUAGACAAAGAUUAUAUGAUCGGUUUGAUUGUUGGAGAAGUCAAUAAUCAGGUGGAGACAAAAACGACAAUUAUUUACAAGACUCCAAGUGAGCCAAGCUGAAGCAGAGGAAAAUCCCCUAUGUCAAGAAAAUGAUGGUUCCCACAAGACGAGUCGGAAAGCUCAAAAUCAUUAUAGGAUGAUGAAACUCACUUAUGAAGAAGCUCAUGUAAAAUUAUUUUUUCUUUUUCUCAUUUUUAACCUCUCAAAUAUUUUGAAUCUCCUAACUGCAAUUCACGAAGAAUAUCGUCAGGCUAUGGCGUGAGGUGAGGGACACAAUUCAUGGGUAAGUGGAGUGGCGUUUGAUUGUAUUGAUUGGCACCCAAUUGAGUGAGUUUGGUCAGAGGGCCAUGUAUCAGUUUGGCUCUCUUUUUUGGAAGAUGUAUCAGUUUGCUUCUGGUGGUCAGG
Long non-coding RNA from Raphanus sativus (radish), 1065 nucleotides. RefSeq lists it as uncharacterized. The transcript is spliced from 5 exons. Lineage: Eukaryota; Viridiplantae; Streptophyta; Magnoliopsida; Brassicales; Brassicaceae. The record is from RefSeq and is a predicted model, not a curated record.